CUCCUCCUCUCUCUUUUCUCUUGCUCCCUCCCUUGCUAUGCGACACAUCGGUUCCCCUUGCCUUUCACCAUGAAUUAAAGCUUCCUGAGGCCCUCACCAGAAGCCAAGCAGAUGCUUGCACCAUGACUUUUGUAUAACCUGCAGAACUAACAAAAACUGCCCUUUUCCGGAAGCCCUGCAAGCUGAAGCUGGACAACUUAAUCUAGACUUAAAGAGAACUCACCACCACAGCUUACGUAUGGACAACUUUUGUGCCUGUUGCUGUGAGCUGCUCAGACAUCACUGGAAACAUUCAAACUGCAAAAGAUGCUUCAAAGUCAGAUGGACCCACCGGGACCAGCAACUCUUCCGUGGCUCCCACCCAGAAGCCAACUGAGUGCACCAGGACCAGCUUCCACACCCCGAUGGUUGCAUCCCCAACCAAUCAGCAGUACCAAUUCCCUAGUCCUCUGUCUGCCAAACUAUCCUUGCAAAACCCUAGCUUCCACAUUUUCGAGGAGGAUGAUUUGAGUAAUAAUAAAACUCCCAUCUCCCCUUUAGCCAGUUCUCUGUGUAUUAAACUCCUUCUCUUUUGCCAUUCCCCUGUCUUGAAAAAUCUGCUCUCUCUGGGUAGUAGGCAAGAUGAACACAUUGAGCAGUUACCUAAUGAUAAGAAUGUUCAUAUCUGUGCUGCCCAAAGUGGUAGCCAGUAGCCACAUGUGGCUGCUGAGUACUUGAAAUAUGAACAGUGUGGCUGAAGAACUUAGAACUGAGUUUUUAAUUUAAUUGUAAUGGCUAAUGUUUGGGACAAUGAAGAUGGAGAUAGACAUUUGCAUCAUUCAUAAAAUUAAAUUCCUCCUCUAAACUAUUCAAAGCAUAGGCAG
Molecule: long non-coding RNA, 863 nt
Filed under: Homo sapiens (human)
Lineage: Eukaryota; Metazoa; Chordata; Mammalia; Primates; Hominidae
Description: HSALNT0336195
Source: RNAcentral